Molecule: ribosomal RNA, 253 nt
Filed under: uncultured bacterium
Lineage: Bacteria
Description: partial 16S ribosomal RNA
Rfam family: Bacterial small subunit ribosomal RNA
Source: RNAcentral
UACGAGAGGCCCAAACGUUAUUCGGGUUUACUGGGCUUAAAGAGUUCGUAGGCGGCUUGGAAAGUGGGGUGUGAAAGCCCUCGGCUCAACCGAGGAAUUGCGCUCCAAACUACCGAGCUUGAGGAAGCUAGAGGUGAGCAGAACUGAUGGUGGAGCGGUGAAAUGCGUUGAUAUCAUCAGGAAUACCGGAGGCGAAGGCGGCUCACUGGGACUUUUCUGACGCUGAGGAACGAAAGCUAGGGGAGCAAACGGG